RNAcentral lists this ribosomal RNA (272 nucleotides) under uncultured Streptococcus sp. RNAcentral's name for it is "partial 16S ribosomal RNA". It matches the Rfam family "Bacterial small subunit ribosomal RNA", at positions 1109 to 1382 of the family's 1533-position model. Lineage: Bacteria; Bacillati; Bacillota; Bacilli; Lactobacillales; Streptococcaceae. The record is from RNAcentral.
UGUUAGUUGCCAUCAUUCAGUUGGGCACUCUAGCGGGACUGCCGGUAAUAAACCGGAGGAAGGUGGGGAUGACGUCAAAUCAUCAUGCCCCUUAUGACCUGGGCUACACACGUGCUACAAUGGUUGGUACAACGAGUUGCGAGUCGGUGACGGCGAGCUAAUCUCUUAAAGCCAAUCUCAGUUCGGAUUGUAGGCUGCAACUCGCCUACAUGAAGUCGGAAUCGCUAGUAAUCGCGGAUCAGCACGCCGCGGUGAAUACGUUCCCGGGCCUU